RNAcentral lists this ribosomal RNA (1358 nucleotides) under uncultured bacterium. RNAcentral describes it as "bacterial SSU rRNA". It matches the Rfam family "Bacterial small subunit ribosomal RNA", at positions 28 to 1381 of the family's 1533-position model. The record is from RNAcentral.
GAUGAACGCUAGCUACAGGCUUAACACAUGCAAGUCGAGGGGCAGCAUGGUCUUAGCUUGCUAAGGCCGAUGGCGACCGGCGCACGGGUGAGUAACACGUAUCCAACCUGCCGUCUACUCUUGGACAGCCUUCUGAAAGGAAGAUUAAUACAAGAUGGCAUCAUGAGUCCGCAUGUUCGCAUGAUUAAAGGUAUUCCGGUAGACGAUGGGGAUGCGUUCCAUUAGAUAGUAGGCGGGGUAACGGCCCACCUAGUCUUCGAUGGAUAGGGGUUCUGAGAGGAAGGUCCCCCACAUUGGAACUGAGACACGGUCCAAACUCCUACGGGAGGCAGCAGUGAGGAAUAUUGGUCAAUGGGCGAGAGCCUGAACCAGCCAAGUAGCGUGAAGGAUGACUGCCCUAUGGGUUGUAAACUUCUUUUAUAAAGGAAUAAAGUCGGGUAUGCAUACCCGUUUGCAUGUACUUUAUGAAUAAGGAUCGGCUAACUCCGUGCCAGCAGCCGCGGUAAUACGGAGGAUCCGAGCGUUAUCCGGAUUUAUUGGGUUUAAAGGGAGCGUAGAUGGAUGUUUAAGUCAGUUGUGAAAGUUUGCGGCUCAACCGUAAAAUUGCAGUUGAUACUGGAUAUCUUGAGUGCAGUUGAGGCAGGCGGAAUUCGUGGUGUAGCGGUGAAAUGCUUAGAUAUCACGAAGAACUCCGAUUGCGAAGGCAGCCUGCUAAGCUGCAACUGACAUUGAGGCUCGAAAGUGUGGGUAUCAAACAGGAUUAGAUACCCUGGUAGUCCACACGGUAAACGAUGAAUACUCGCUGUUUGCGAUAUACAGCAAGCGGCCAAGCGAAAGCGUUAAGUAUUCCACCUGGGGAGUACGCCGGCAACGGUGAAACUCAAAGGAAUUGACGGGGGCCCGCACAAGCGGAGGAACAUGUGGUUUAAUUCGAUGAUACGCGAGGAACCUUACCCGGGCUUAAAUUGCAGAUGAAUUACGGUGAAAGCCGUAAGCCGCAAGGCAUCUGUGAAGGUGCUGCAUGGUUGUCGUCAGCUCGUGCCGUGAGGUGUCGGCUUAAGUGCCAUAACGAGCGCAACCCUUGUUGUCAGUUACUAACAGGUUCCGCUGAGGACUCUGACAAGACUGCCAUCGUAAGAUGUGAGGAAGGUGGGGAUGACGUCAAAUCAGCACGGCCCUUACGUCCGGGGCUACACACGUGUUACAAUGGGGGGUACAGAGGGCCGCUACCACGCGAGUGGAUGCCAAUCCCAAAAACCUCUCUCAGUUCGGACUGGAGUCUGCAACCCGACUCCACGAAGCUGGAUUCGCUAGUAAUCGCGCAUCAGCCACGGCGCGGUGAAUACGUUCCCGGGCCU